RNAcentral lists this ribosomal RNA (368 nucleotides) under uncultured archaeon. Its description in RNAcentral is "bacterial SSU rRNA". It matches the Rfam family "Archaeal small subunit ribosomal RNA", at positions 990 to 1357 of the family's 1478-position model. The record is from RNAcentral.
GUGCAUGGCCGCCGUCAGUUCGUACCGCAAGGCGUUCUGUUAAGUCAGAUAACGAACGAGACCCUCAUCUCUAUUUGCUAACCAGAUCUCCGGAUCUGGUGCACUAUAGGGAGACCGCUGGCGCUAAGUCAGAGGAAGGGGAGGGCAACGGUAGGUCAGUAUGCUCCGAAUGCUAUGGGCUACACGCGCAAUACAAAGGACAGGACAAUGGGCUGCUGCUCCGAAAGGAAUGAUAGCUAUCCCGAAACCUGUUCGUAGUUCGGAUUGAGGGCUGUAACUCGCCCUCAUGAAGCUGGAUUAGGUAGUAAUCGCGUCUCAAAAAGGCGCGGUGAAUAUGCCCCUGCUCCUUGCACACACCGCCCGUCAAA